RNAcentral lists this long non-coding RNA (328 nucleotides) under Nicotiana benthamiana. RNAcentral describes it as "long non-coding RNA (NBEN_LNC007639)". Lineage: Eukaryota; Viridiplantae; Streptophyta; Magnoliopsida; Solanales; Solanaceae. The record is from RNAcentral.
GUGGCCAACUUCUUCCUUUUUUUGUGAUAAUUGAGUUCUUGAGGGGCCAGCGGUGCAAGGUCUAAAACUUUGUGGAUAAUAGGCCUGCUCCCUAUCUCCAGUUGAAUGCGAGGCUUCUGUUUACGGAAAGGUUUGAACCCAUGAUUUGCGCCUAACUCGCACAAAAGGUUGCACUCGUACCAUUAAUCGAAUUCGAGAUUGUGGAACUGAUGUUCACAUGUGUGGUCUCCAUGGAUAGCAGACUAUGUCCCAAUUUCUGGUGUUGUUGGAUUGUAUUGUAGUAUUUUAUGUUUCCCCGUCUUACACCAAUGUAAUGUUUGAGUUGGUG